GCGGAUGUGGUGGAAUUGGUAGACACGCUAGAUUCAGGUUCUAGUGUCCGCAAGGUCAUGGAGGUUCAAGUCCUCUCAUCCGCA
RNAcentral lists this transfer RNA (84 nucleotides) under Fibrobacteres bacterium CG2_30_45_31. RNAcentral's name for it is "tRNA-Leu". It matches the Rfam family "tRNA". Rfam says of the family: Transfer RNA (tRNA) molecules are approximately 80 nucleotides in length. Their secondary structure includes four short double-helical elements and three loops (D, anti-codon, and T loops). RNAcentral also lists the same sequence under 1 other name. The record is from RNAcentral. Lineage: Bacteria; Pseudomonadati; Fibrobacterota.